Molecule: ribosomal RNA, 533 nt
Filed under: Klebsiella pneumoniae
Lineage: Bacteria; Pseudomonadati; Pseudomonadota; Gammaproteobacteria; Enterobacterales; Enterobacteriaceae
Description: partial 23S ribosomal RNA
Rfam family: Bacterial large subunit ribosomal RNA
Source: RNAcentral
UGUUAGUGGAACGGUCUGGAAAGUCCGACGGUACAGGGUGAUAGUCCCGUACACCAAAAUGCACAGGUUGUGAACUCGAAGAGUAGGGCGGGACACGUGGUAUCCUGUCUGAAUAUGGGGGGACCAUCCUCCAAGGCUAAAUACUCCUGACUGACCGAUAGUGAACCAGUACCGUGAGGGAAAGGCGAAAAGAACCCCGGCGAGGGGAGUGAAAAAGAACCUGAAACCGUGUACGUACAAGCAGUGGGAGCACCUUCGGGUGUGACUGCGUACCUUUUGUAUAAUGGGUCAGCGACUUAUAUUCUGUAGCAAGGUUAACCGUAUAGGGGAGCCGCAGGGAAACCGAGUCUUAACUGGGCGUUAAGUUGCAGGGUAUAGACCCGAAACCCGGUGAUCUAGCCAUGGGCAGGUUGAAGGUUGGGUAACACUAACUGGAGGACCGAACCGACUAAUGUUGAAAAAUUAGCGGAUGACUUGUGGCUGGGGGUGAAAGGCCAAUCAAACCGGGAGAUAGCUGGUUCUCCCCGAAAGCU